ACGCCUAACACAUGCAAGUCGAACGAAGUAGCAAUACUUAGUGGCAAACGGGUAAGUAAUAUGUGGGAAUCUACCCUUCGGUCUGGAAUAACAUGAGGAAACUUAUGCUAAUACCGGAUAAGCCUUUACAGGGAAAGCUUUAUGCUCCGAUUGAUGAGUCCACACUUGAUUAGUUAGUUGGUGGGGUAAUAGCUCACCAAGACAAUGAUCAAUAGCUGAUUUGAGAGGAUGAUCAGCCACAUUGGGACUGAGACACGGCCCAAACUCCUACGGGAGGCAGCAGUGGGGAAUCUUGCACAAUGGGGGAAACCCUGAUGCAGCGAUGCCGCGUGAGUGAAGAAGGCCCUUGGGUUGUAAAGCUCUUUCGUCGGGGAAGAAAAUGACUGUACCCGAAUAAGAAGGUCCGGCUAACUUCGUGCCAGCAGCCGCGGUAAUACGAAGGGACCUAGCGUAGUUCGGAAUUACUGGGCUUAAAGAGCACGUAGGUGGUUAAAAAAGUUGGUGGUGAAAUCCCAGAGCUUAACUCUGGAACUGCCAUCAAAACUUUUUAGCUAGAGUAUGAUAGAGGAAAGCAGAAUUUUUAGUGUAGAGGUGAAAUUCGUAGAUAUUAAAAAGAAUACCAAUUGCGAAGGCAGCUUUCUGGAUCAUUACUGACACUGAGGUGCGAAAGCAUGGGUAGCGAAGAGGAUUAGAUACCCUCGUAGUCCAUGCCGUAAACGAUGUGUGCUAGACGUUGGAAAUUUAUUUUCAGUGUCGCAGCAAAAGCAUUAAGCACACCGCCUGGGGAGUACGACCGCAAGGUUAAAACUCAAAUGAAUUGACGGGGACCCGCACAAGCAGUGGAGCAUGUGGUUUAAUUCGAAGAUACGCGCAGAACCUUACCAACACUUGACAUGUUCGUCGCGACUUUAAGAGAUUAAAGUCUUCGGUUCGGCCGGACGAAACACAGGUGCUGCAUGGCUGUCGUCAGCUCGUGUCGUGAGAUGUUGGGUUAAGUCCCGCAACGAGCGCAACCCUUACUUUUAGUUGCCAUCAUUUAGUUGGGCACUCUGAAAGAACUGCCAGUGAUAAGCUGGAGGAAGGUGGGGAUGACGUCAAGUCCUCAUGGCCCUUACGUGUUGGGCUACACACGUGCUACAAUGGCAU
This 1146-nucleotide ribosomal RNA is filed under the name uncultured Pelagibacterales bacterium. Its description in RNAcentral is "bacterial SSU rRNA". It matches the Rfam family "Bacterial small subunit ribosomal RNA", at positions 44 to 1236 of the family's 1533-position model. The record is from RNAcentral. Lineage: Bacteria; Pseudomonadati; Pseudomonadota; Alphaproteobacteria; Candidatus Pelagibacterales.